GAUGAACGCUUGCGGCGUGCUUAACACAUGCAAGUCGAACGAAGCACUCUAUUUGAUUUUUUUCGGAAAAGAAGAUUUUGUGACUGAGUGGCGGACGGGUGAGUAACGCGUGGGUAACCUGCCUCAUACAGGGGGAUAACAGUUGGAAACGACUGCUCAUACCGCAUAAGCGCCCAGUACUGCAUGGUACAGUGUGAAAAACUCCGGUGGUAUGAGAUGGACCCGCGUCUGAUUAGCUAGAUGGUGGGGUAACGGCCUACCAAGGCGACGAUCAGUACCCGACCUUAGAGGGUGGGAAGCCAGAUGGGGAAUGGGAAACGGCCCAAAGUCGAACGGUAGGCAGCAGUGCGGAAAAAUGAACAAUGGUGGAAUCCCUAACGCAGCGACGCAGCAUGAACGAAGAAGCAUUUCGGUAUGUAAAGUUCUAAUAGCAGGGAAGAUAAUGACGGUACCUGACUAAGAAGCACCGGCUAAAGACGUGCCAGCAGCCGCAGUAA
This 497-nucleotide ribosomal RNA is filed under the name uncultured bacterium. RNAcentral's name for it is "partial 16S ribosomal RNA". It matches the Rfam family "Bacterial small subunit ribosomal RNA", at positions 28 to 523 of the family's 1533-position model. The record is from RNAcentral.